AGAAGCUGAAGUACUGUACGAAUAAGCCCGGCUAACUCCGUGCCAGCAGCCGCGGUAAUACGAGGUGCUAGCGUUAUCUGGAUUUAUGCGUUUACAGGGUCUGUAGGAGAUCCGUAAGUCAGUGCUGAAAUCUCAUAGCUCAACUAUGAAACUGCCAUUGAUACUGCGUGUCUUGAGUGAGGUAGAAGUAGCUGGAAUAAGUAGUGUAGCGGUGAAAUGCAUAGAUAUUACUUAGAACACCAAUUGCGAAGGCAGGUUACUAUGUCUCAACUGACGCUGAUGGACGAAAGCGUGCAGAGCGAACAGGAUUAGAUACCCUGGUAGUCCACGCUGUAAACGAUGCUAACUCGUUUUUGGUCUUUCGGAAUCAGAGACUAAGCGAAAGUGAUAAGCUAGCCACCUGGGGAGUACGAACGCAAGUUUGAAACUCAAAGGAAUUGACGGGGCCCCGCACAAGCGGUGGAUUAUGUGGUUUAAUUCGAUGAUACGCGAGGAACCUUACCAAGACUUAAAUGGGAAUUGACAGAUUUAGAAAUAGACCAUCCUUCGGGCAAUUUUCAAGGUGCUGCAUGGUUGUUGUCAGCUCGUGCCGUGAGGUGUUAGGUUAAGUCCUGCAACGAGCGCAACCCCUCUCACUAGUUGCCAUCAUUCAGUUGGGGACUGUAGUGAGACUGCCUACGCAAGUAGAGAGGAAGGUGGGGAUGAUGUCAAAUCAUCACGGCCCUUACGCCUUGGGCCACACACGUAAUACAAUGGCCGGUACAGAGGGCAGCUACACAGCGAUGUGAUGCAAAUCUCGAAAGCCGGUCUCAGUUCGGAUUGGAGUCUGCAACUCGACUCUAUGAAGCUGGAAUCGCUAGUAAUCGCGCAUCAGCCAUGGCGCGGUGAAUACGUUCCCGGGCCUUGUACACACCGCCCGUCAAGCCAUGGAAGUCUGGGGUACCGAAGUCGGUGACCGUAAAAGGAGCGCCUACGUCAGCUGCCG
Molecule: ribosomal RNA, 985 nt
Filed under: Chryseobacterium hispalense
Lineage: Bacteria; Pseudomonadati; Bacteroidota; Flavobacteriia; Flavobacteriales; Weeksellaceae
Description: bacterial SSU rRNA
Rfam family: Bacterial small subunit ribosomal RNA
Source: RNAcentral